Molecule: ribosomal RNA, 439 nt
Filed under: uncultured bacterium
Lineage: Bacteria
Description: bacterial SSU rRNA
Rfam family: Bacterial small subunit ribosomal RNA
Source: RNAcentral
AGGACGACGCUGGCGGUGUGCUUCACACAUGCAAGUCGAACGAGGUAGCAAUACCGUAGUGGCGGACGGGUGAGUAACGCGUGGGAAUCUGCCUUUAGAUGGGGGAUAACGGGUCGAAAGACUCGCUAAUACCGCAUAUGACGAAAGUUGAAAGGAGUAAUCCGUCUAAAGAUGAGCCCGCGUCCGAUUAGCUAGUUGGUAGAGUAAAAGCCUACCAAGGCGACGAUCGGUAGCUGGUCUGAGAGGAUGAUCAGCCACAAUGGGACUGAGACACGGCCCAUACUCCUACGGGAGGCAGCAGUGGGGAAUUUUACGCAAUGGGCGAAAGCCUGACGUAGCGACACCGCGUGAGCGAAGAAGCCCCUUGGGGUGUAAAGCUCUGUCAGCUGGAACGAAAAAAAUGACGGUACCAGCAGAGGAAGCAUCGGCUAACUACGUG